GCCGGAGUGGUGGAACUGGUAUACACACAGCACUCAAAAUGCUGCGGCGAAAGCCAUGCGAGUUCGAGUCUCGCCUCCGGCACCA
RNAcentral lists this transfer RNA (85 nucleotides) under Gammaproteobacteria bacterium. RNAcentral's name for it is "tRNA-Leu". It matches the Rfam family "tRNA". From Rfam's summary of the family: Transfer RNA (tRNA) molecules are approximately 80 nucleotides in length. Lineage: Bacteria; Pseudomonadati; Pseudomonadota; Gammaproteobacteria. RNAcentral also lists the same sequence under 1 other name. The record is from RNAcentral.